GGGCCCCUGGUACCUGCAGAGAUGUGGGGGUGCUCGAAAGAGAGCCAGGACACAGGUGCUGCAUGGCCGUCGUCAGCUCGUGUCGUGAGAUGUUGGGUUAAGUCCCGCAACGAGCGCAACCCUUGCCAUUAGUUGCUACGAAAGGGCACUCUAAUGGGACUGCCGGUGACAAACCGGAGGAAGGUGGGGAUGACGUCAGGUCCUCAUGGCCCUUAUGGGUAGGGCUACACACGUCAUACAAUGGCCGGUACAGAGGGCUGCCAACCCGCGAGGGGGAGCCAAUCCCAGAAAACCGGUCGUAGUCCGGAUUGCAGUCUGCAACUCGACUGCAUGAAGUCGGAAUCGCUAGUAAUCGCGGAUCAGAAUGUCGCGGUGAAUACGUUCCCGGGUCUUGUACACACCGA
Molecule: ribosomal RNA, 404 nt
Filed under: uncultured bacterium
Lineage: Bacteria
Description: bacterial SSU rRNA
Rfam family: Bacterial small subunit ribosomal RNA
Source: RNAcentral